CCCUAUUGUGGGGAAUAACAUCUCGAAAGAGAUGCUAAUACCGCAUAAGCUCUCAUAUGAUAGUAUGAGAGGAAACGCUUAUCGCAAGAUAAGUGGCAAAAGGAGGGGUCUGCGGCGGAUUAGCUAGUUGGUGGGGUAAAGGCCUACCAAGGCGACGAUCCGUAGCUGGUCUGAGAGGACGAUCAGCCACACUGGGACUGAGACACGGCCCAG
RNAcentral lists this ribosomal RNA (213 nucleotides) under uncultured bacterium. Its description in RNAcentral is "partial 16S ribosomal RNA". It matches the Rfam family "Bacterial small subunit ribosomal RNA", at positions 129 to 334 of the family's 1533-position model. The record is from RNAcentral.